AAGUGGUUGAAAAAAAAGUUUUUAUGACUCUAACCUAAGUGUAUGUCAACUCCCGACUUCAACUGUACGUAAGUACUGUUUCCCUCUAUUAUGUCCACAAGCCAUUAGAACCGAGUGGACAAGACCAAGCACUAAAUCACAUGGGGGGGGAUUAAAUUAUUUUCUACACAGAAGAUCAUACAACUUUAUUGCCUGGUGAUCUUCUGAACCCAAUACCUUUCUGAUGCAUUUCAGUCACUUCAAACCAUCUUCAGAUUUAAAUGCUGUCCAAAGUACUGUCAGACCGAUUUCAAAUAGACUGUCAUAUCCCAAAUUAAAAAGUUAACAUUGGCUGUUGAUUGCAUAAUUUUCUUUACAUGGUGGGGUCACAAAAAAAAGUUAUAUAAAAAUGGGGUCGCAGGCCAAAAUAGUUUGGGAACUCCUGGCCUAAGAAUUUGUUGAAAAAUACAUAUCCUGAUUCAUACUGUGAUAUGGAAUCACUCAAAGCCCUUAAGCAUUUGACUUUCUGAACCUCUCUGACCGUGUCUGGCCAUAUCUAACCGUGUGGUAUCUUUCCUCUGCAGGGACCCUGAAAAGCUUGCUGCAAUAUCACAUUAUGGAGAUGAUUAUUGGCAACACUUGAGGCGGCUCUGACUGCGUGUCACAGUCUCUGGCUGAGUUUGACCGUGUGUGACCGUGUGGUCUCUCUUAUCUGCAGGGACCCUGAAUGCGCUCCUGAGACAGAAGGGUCAGGCAGCGACAGAGGGGCCCACCUGGUCACUGAGCGGUAACCAAGGCGACCACUGGAAACAGGCCAAAGUUAGCAUCCACCCAAUUGCCUCUUUCCAGGUGGUGCUGGAGGGUAUCCGAGGUCCUGGUAUUGAGGGGGAUAUCGCAAUUGAUGAUGUCACCCUGGAGGAGGGGGAGUGUAGAGAUCUACCGGCCGUUAAUCUCAGAUCCGCUGCCCCAUCUACAUCUGCCCAUAUAUGGCUGCUGAGUGUCACCUUGGCGAUGACCUUCCGGUGGGGUCAUAGGUGACCCUGCCCUGCGCCAUCUGGCGGAGGCAAACGGGCCGAACCGGUCUCGGGCCCGACCUCGGCCCUGGUGUCUGUGUUAUUGUACCCUCAGCAUCCAAUCACCAAAGAUUCAUGCAUUCAGAAGGCGGCAUCGAGGGAAUCCAAACACAGACCACCAAGAGGGACGAAAAUCUUUAAAACAGACGAAAAAAAGGAAAAAAAUACCACAUAAAACGUAAUAAAAUAAGAUUCGCAAUUUUUUUUAAAGAGACAACUUUUCCAGAAAAUUGCUCCCCAAGCGCAGGAUUGUGAGCACUUUUACGGGAGCGGAGCAAAGCCAGGUGUUGAGACGCCUGGACUUUAGUGAGAGUGUUCACAAGCGCAGCGGGAAAACUAUUUGUAAAGCACAAGAACAAUUUUGCCAGUCAGGAAACUUAAAUUGAAAGGUAAGUGGGAAUUGAGACAUUGGGGACUUUUCGAAGAACAAAAUGACUUUUCCCCGGCUUAAAAAAAACACAUGGAAUUGAAGCUUUUCUCUGUCUGUCUUAUCUUUUUGGAGUUGCACCUGAUACACAUCAAGGACAAUUUUCACUCUGCCCAGCCACCCUGACCUUCACACCUUGACAUGUCUCUCUCUCUCUCUCGACUUGAUGCUGUGCAGUAGAAAAUAGAAACUUGGACAUUUAGUUAUCUAUUCCAGCUCUCUCUCCCCUCUUGCCCAAUAGCUGCCUAAGUAUUUCACAACACUGUCCUUACCAGUCCAAGUGGCCAACAGAGGGUAUGUGAGGCCAAGUAAGCAGGCCCCAGGCAGACUCCAGGCAAACCCCAGGCAGGCUCCAGACUCAGGGUCUGUAGGUUAGAUCGAGAGGAGUAGGAGAGAUAGUUGAAGAGGGGUGUGCC
Long non-coding RNA from Oncorhynchus masou masou (cherry salmon), 1895 nucleotides. RefSeq lists it as uncharacterized. The transcript is spliced from 3 exons. The record is from RefSeq and is a predicted model, not a curated record. Lineage: Eukaryota; Metazoa; Chordata; Actinopteri; Salmoniformes; Salmonidae.